UCCCGCGUGGUCUAGCGGUUAGGAUUCCUGGCUUUCACCCAGGCGGCCCGGGUUCAACUCCCGGCGCGGGAG
RNAcentral lists this transfer RNA (72 nucleotides) under Paragonimus heterotremus. It matches the Rfam family "tRNA". From Rfam's summary of the family: Transfer RNA (tRNA) molecules are approximately 80 nucleotides in length. Their secondary structure includes four short double-helical elements and three loops (D, anti-codon, and T loops). The record is from Rfam by way of RNAcentral. Lineage: Eukaryota; Metazoa; Platyhelminthes; Trematoda; Plagiorchiida; Troglotrematidae.